GCCAUGCACACACUGACUUCCUUCGUGAAGUAUUGUCAGCUCUACUGCUAUUCUGAACCCUAUCCAGUAAGUAAGCCAGAAGUUACACGGAAUUUAAAUGGAAGUAAGCCAGAAGGUACCCGGAAGUUACACAGAAGUUAAACGGAAGUAAGCCAGAAGGUACCCGGAAGUUACACAGAAGUUAAACGGAAGUAAGCCAGAGGUUACACGGAAGUUACCCGGAAGUAAGCCAGAGGUUGCACGGGAGCAAGCCAGAAGUUACACGGAAAAGUUACAAGGAAGCCAGAAGUAUUCUUGUUUUUGGGCGAAGUUACCCGGAAGUUACUCGGAAGUUACACAGAAGUUACCCGGAAGUAAGCCAGAAGUAAGGUGUACAGGGCAUGGUUGAGGAAGAAGAGGAAAAUGAGCCUGAAAUGGGGAUGGAGGAGUCUGUGUCCAUGUACAAUAUUGCUGGUGCGGAUGAGAGAGAGGAGUACGGUGUGGAAAACGGAGAGGAAAACAUGCAUGUUAAUGGAUCGUAUUUCAUGUUGUAUGGAUUGUAUCAGUAAAAUCUCUUGAGUUUGUGUAUAAAUGUCGGACAGAGUACUUUGUAAUCUACAUUUUUUUUGUUUGUUUUGAGUGAAACAUUCAACCAGUAUUUUUUUUUCAUGAUUUAACAAUACAAUUGUACUUUCUUCUAGUUUCAUACUAUCUUGAAUCUGUGUGUAAAUACUUAUAAUUUAAUUUUACAUUUUAUCUGAAGUCUGAGUAACAGAUAAGCUACAGUCAGCAUGUCUGUAUUUAAGAUUUAUAUAACCUGUCCAGUACACAAUCUUCCCAAUAAACUCAAAAACAUUUGCACAACUCCAAAUGAAGCAAGAGUUGAACUUUGAUGUAAUUGAAGUGUACCACUUGGAGAAUAAGAAAUUAAAGUUAUCCAAUAA
Long non-coding RNA from Tachysurus fulvidraco (yellow catfish), 923 nucleotides. RefSeq lists it as uncharacterized. NCBI's taxonomy places the organism in Eukaryota, Metazoa, Chordata, Actinopteri, Siluriformes, Bagridae. The record is from RefSeq and is a predicted model, not a curated record. The transcript has 2 exons.